Molecule: long non-coding RNA, 153 nt
Organism: Telopea speciosissima
Lineage: Eukaryota; Viridiplantae; Streptophyta; Magnoliopsida; Proteales; Proteaceae
Exons: 3
Source: RefSeq, a predicted model, not a curated record
CUGAUCUAUUAAGGUUUUGGAUAUUUGAUGGCAUUCUUGAUUAUUUUCUUCCUUGCAGCUUCCCCAAGAUCAAUGCCACACAUAUCAGCCAGCCUAAUGAGGUAUAACAGCACAUCAGAUAACUCCUCCCCAAGAUGCUCUUUAUCAGAUUCC